GAUGAACGCUAGCUACAGGCUUAACACAUGCAAGUCGAGGGGAAACGAUGAGAGAGCUUGCUCUCUUAGUCGUCGACCGGCGCACGGGUGAGUAACGCGUAUCCAACCUGCCUCUGACCAAGGGAUAACCCGUCGAAAGUCGGACUAAUACCUUAUGCAGUCGUCGGAAGUCAUCUGAUGACGACGAAAGAUUUCAUCGGUGAGAGAUGGGGAUGCGUCUGAUUAGCUUGUUGGCGGGGUAACGGCCCACCAAGGCGACGAUCAGUAGGGGUUCUGAGAGGAAGGUACCCCACAUUGGAACUGCGACACGGUCCAAACUCCUACGGGAGGCAGCAGUGAGGAAUAUUGGUCAAUGGGCGUAAGCCUGAACCAGCCAAGUAGCGUGCAGGAUGACGGCCCUAUGGGUUGUAAACUGCUUUUAUGCGGGGAUAAAGUGAGGGACGUGUCCUUCAUUGCAGGUACCGCAUGAAUAAGGACCGGCUAAUUCCGUG
RNAcentral lists this ribosomal RNA (491 nucleotides) under uncultured bacterium. RNAcentral's name for it is "partial 16S ribosomal RNA". It matches the Rfam family "Bacterial small subunit ribosomal RNA", at positions 28 to 507 of the family's 1533-position model. The record is from RNAcentral.